CAUCCAGACUCCUACGGGAGGCAGCAGUGGGGAAUAUUGCACAGUGGGGGAAACCCUGAUGCAGCGACGCCGCGUGAGUGAAGAAGUAUUUCGGUAUGUAAAGCUCUAUCAGCAGGAAAGAAAAUGACGGUACCUGACUAAGAAGCCCCGGCUAACUACGUGCCAGCAGCCGCGGUAAUACGUAGGGGGCAAGCGUUAUCCGGAUUUACUGGGUGUAAAGGGAGCGUAGACGGUGAAGCAAGUCUGAAGUGAAAGGCGGGGGCUCAACCCCCGGACUGCUUUGGAAACUGUUUGACUGGAGUGCAGGAGAGGUAAGUGGAAUUCCUAGUGUAGCGGUGAAAUGCGUAGAUAUUAGGAGGAACACCAGUGGCGAAGGCGGCUUACUGGACUGUAACUGACGUUGAGGCUCGAAAGCGUGGGGAGCAAACAGGAUUAGAUACCCCCGUAU
This 448-nucleotide ribosomal RNA is filed under the name uncultured bacterium. Its description in RNAcentral is "bacterial SSU rRNA". It matches the Rfam family "Bacterial small subunit ribosomal RNA", at positions 328 to 793 of the family's 1533-position model. The record is from RNAcentral.